This is an RNA transcript of Fundulus heteroclitus (mummichog), 4238 nucleotides long. RefSeq lists it as uncharacterized. The record is from RefSeq and is a predicted model, not a curated record. Lineage: Eukaryota; Metazoa; Chordata; Actinopteri; Cyprinodontiformes; Fundulidae. The transcript is spliced from 6 exons.
UGUUUUUGGAGAGAGAAAACUACGUAGUUAGCGAUAGUUUGCGAUAUUUUACGAUAUUUUUACGAUUGAUACGAUUGAUUGAUUGUCAAUCCCAGAGUUUGCUUUACGAACCAGUGCAAACGAAGAAGCCAUGAACGCCUACACCAGUUCAGAGGCUCCAGUAGUCCCAGGAGACCUUAUUAUACCAUUGAUGAAAGAUUUCUUUUUGUCUAUCUCAUUGGAGCAGACCGUGGAGUUGGCCAUAGGAGAACCCGAUGCUGACACCUUAUCUAAGGUAAAGGAGCUGGUGUUGAAUGUCGCAGAUCAAUGUACCGGCUACGUUCUGCGCAACAUCUACAAAGGACGCUUCACAUCUGGGGAUGUGGAAACCGCUGUGGGCAAGUCAGUGCUAACAUCAUUUGUAGACUUCCUUAAGAUGCAUCGAACGACUCAACCCAAGAGCUUUGACACCUUCAACAAGCUAUUUGUCAAACUUGUCAAAGAAAAAGUUAGCUAUUUCCUCGGCCCCAUGGAUGAUGAAUUAGCUUUUCAUGUCUCUGAGAUGGACAGAGUGGAUCUAGUACUUCCACAUGCAGUGAGACUGAUAGAGGAACUGUUAGCUGAGAGGUGUAUACAACAUCGGCAGAGUAAGCAAAACGUUGCUGAAGACCAGCAAGAUGCCCUCAAUAGGCAGAACAGGGUAAAUGAUUUUAUCUCUAAAGAAAAUAAAUCAGAUCUUUAGAUGGUGGAUGGAUUUACAUCUCAUAAGAUUUCUGAAAUGAUGAAGGUCAAUUAUUUUAUGUCUAAGGAAAAGGAGUUGGAGCUGAAGAUGGUGGAUGAAUUCAUUUCUGAGGAGCUUUCAAAAUUGAGCAAGAAAAAGAAGUCAGAGCUGAAGAGGGUGAACAAAUUCAUCACUGAGAAGGUUUUAGAAGUGAGCAAGGUAAAGAAAUGUAUCUUUAAAAAGAAGGAAUCAGAUCUUUAGAUGGUGGAUAAAUUUAUAUCUGAGGAGCUUUUAAAAUUGAGCAAGAUUUCUGAAAUGAUGAAGGUAAAUUAUUUUAUCUCUAAGGAAAAGGAGUUGGAGCUGAAGAUGGUGGAUGAAUUCAUUUCUGAGGAGGUUUUAGAGAUUAAUAAGAAAAAGAAGUCAGAGCUGAAGAGGGUGAACAAAUUCAUCAGUGAGAAGGUUUUAGAAGUGAGCAAGGUAAAGAAAUUUAUCUUUAAAAAGAAGGAAUCAGAUCUUUAAAUGGUGGAUAAAUUUAUAUUUGAUAAGAUUUCUUAAAUGAUGAAGGUAAAUUAUUUUAUCUCUAAGGAAAAGGAGUUGGAGCUGAAGAUGGUGGAUGAAUUCAUUUCUGAGGAGCUUUUAAAAUUGAGCAAGGAAAAGGAGUUGGAGCUGAAGAUGGUGGACAGAUUCAUUUCUGAGGAGGUUUUAGAGAUGAAUAAGGUAAAUUAUCUUAUCUUUAAAAAGAAGAAAUCAGAACUUUAGAUGGUUGAUUAAGUUAUAUCUGAUGAUGUUACAGAGCUGAUUAAGGGGUUGUUUCCAAUGUUCAGCCCUUUCACACAAUUAUGUGAAAGAAGGAGCCAGUUUCAGCGAUAGGGUGUUUUAACUAGUCUACAGUUUAAAUAAACACUGCAUGAAUUUGAACAAGACAAACCAUAUAUAACAACCAACCCAGAUGAUGAUGCUAGACAUAAUAUUUAUCCCUCUGUUUGAACAAAGUAUUGAUAUAGAGUUUUCUACCCAAUCGAUAUAUGUAGUUGAUAGUAAAAAUAUUCAAAUGUUGAGUUUGCAUGUGGACUUUGCUUUUUAAAAAUAUAUAUUCCAGUGUAUUCCAUUUUUGCAAAAUGUGUAAACAACAAUUUUAUCAAACAAUAGGUUGAAUAUCUCAAUUAUACUAAAUUGGGGCUUGCCAAAAUCAGCCUCUAUUGGUACGCUUGUGGGGAGGGCGUUAAAAAAAAGGAUGUUUGUACACUUGUGAAAAUAUCUAGGAUUUUUAUCAACCCCUAAGAUAAAUUAUUUUAUCUGUAAGAAAAAGAAGUCAGAGCUGAAGAGGGUGAACAAAUUCAUCACUGAGAAGGUUUUAGAAGUGAGCAAGGUAAAGAAAUGUAUCUUUAAAAAGAAGGAAUCAGAUCUUUAGAUGGUGGAUAAAUUUAUAUCUGAGGAGCUUUUAAAAUUGAGCAAGAUUUCUGAAAUGAUGAAGGUAAAUUAUUUUAUCUCUAAGGAAAAGGAGUUGGAGCUGAAGAUGGUGGAUGAAUUCAUUUCUGAGGAGCUUUUAAAAUUGAGCAAGGAAAAGGAGUUGGAGCUGAAGAUGGUGGACAGAUUCAUUUCUGAGGAGGUUUUAGAGAUGAAUAAGAAAAAGAAGUCAGAGCUGAAGAGGGUGAACAAAUUCAUCACUGAGGAGGUUUUAGAAGUGAGCAAGGUAAAGAAAUGUAUCUUUAAAAAGAAGGAAUCAGAUCUUUAGAUAGUGGAUAGAUUUAUAUCUAAUAAGAUUUCUGAAAUGAUGAAGGUAAAUUAUUUUAUCUCUAAGGAAAAGGAGUUGGAGCUGAAGAUGGUGGAUGAAUUCAUUUCUGAGGAGCUUUUAAAAUUGAGCAAGGUAAAUUAUUUUAUCUUUAAGAAGAAGGAACCAGUUUGAGCAAUAGGGUGUUUUAACUAGUCUACAGUUUUAAAUGAACACUGCAUGAAUUUGAACAAGACGAACCAUAAAUAACAACCAACCCAGAUGAUGAUGCUAGACAUAAUAUUUAUCCCUCUGUUUGAACAAAGUACUGAUAUAAAGUUUUCUACCCAAUCGAUAUAUGUAGUUGAUAGUAAAAUAUUCAAAUGUUGAGUUUGCAUGUGAACUUUGCUUUCUAAAAAUAUAUACUCCAGUGUAUUCCUUUUUUGCAAAAAAGUGUAAACAACAAUUUUAUCAAACAAUAGGUCGAAUAUCUCAAAUAUACUAAAUUGGGGCAUGCCAAAAUCAGCCUUUAUUGGUACGCUUGUGGGGAGGGCGUUAAAAAAAGGAUGUUUGUACACUUCUGAAAAUAUCUAGGAUUUUGAACAACCCCUAAGAUAAAUUAUUUUAUCCUUAAGAAAAAGAAGUCAGAGCUGAAGAGGGUGAACAAAUUCAUCACUGAGGAGGUUUUAGAAGUGAGCAAGGUAAAGAAAUUUAUCUUUAAAAAGAAGGAAUCAGAUCUUUAGAUGGUGGAUAAAUUUAUAUCUGAUGUCUGAAAUGAUGAAGGUAAAUUAUUUUAUCCCUAAGGAAAAGGAGUCAGAGCUGAAAAUGGUGAACAAAUUCAUCACUGAGGAACCAUCAGAGGUCAUGGACAUCAAAGAGAUCAUGUCUAAACAGCAACGUUUACAGACCCAGGAUAUCUCAGAGGAUAUCUUUGAACCCAGUAACAAUCAAGAGUUGAAUGACAGAGCUGUUCCAGUAACCACAGCAAAACAGCAGAACAAAGGAGUUGGAGUGAGAAUCAAAACGUUCCUUCAAAAAUACAGUCUGGGACGAUACAAGGAAGUUGCACCACAGCAGUCACUGGUUGUUAAAGAGGAAACCAGUGAGGAGGAGACGGAUGUCGCAGGGCUGAAAAAAUCACUGUCUGAGGAGCAGAUUCAUCAAGGAGUGAAUGGAAAGGGACAAGAGCUGAAGCCGAGAUCAGAGACUUCCACACAUGGAUGUUGGGCCUGCGCCAUUGGCUUUGUAGGGGAGGAUUGAACCUUAAAAAAAUAAAUAAACACAGAUGAAAAACCAGACACCGCGACUUCUCUUCAGUGACCAGCAGGGGGAUUAGUUUAUUUCAGACUUAAAGUCAUCUUCAUUUCACAGUAAUCCCAACAAUAUGGGGUAACUUUCAGCCUUUAUAGGGAUACAGUAUGACGUAAAUGGGAACAUAUCUUAUUGUGCACGGGCGCACAGUAAGUCCCUUCUUAGUUGGAAAGGCGUGUGUGUGUGUGUGUGUGUGUGUGUGUGUGUGUGUUUCCAUUUUUGAGAAGUCUUAAACAGGCCUUUGGAAAAACAGAAACAUAAUAGGAGCCAAGAGUAGUUCAACUAAAGUUCCUUUGGCCUUACUUUACUCCUGUUGUGAUUCUGUAAAAACAUUAUAGAACUAAUCAUUCGUUGGGCAGUGAUUUCAGUUAUUAAACAGAAUUCAACCUUGGCAAUGAUAAACUAUCAGGCCGUUCUCUUCAGUACCAUGCUGAUGAUUUCCGCCAUAGCUUUAGUCUCAGAGAAGGAAGAGCGGCAGUCACCCAUCAGCCUGCUCAUUAAUGCACUUAUCAUGCA